GGCUCGGUAGCUUAGAUGGUAAAGCGUUCGUCUAGCAUACAAGAGUUCUGGGUUCGAAUCACGACCGAGCAC
This is a non-coding RNA of Aedes aegypti (yellow fever mosquito), 72 nucleotides long. NCBI's taxonomy places the organism in Eukaryota, Metazoa, Arthropoda, Insecta, Diptera, Culicidae. The record is from Rfam.